UUUGGGUGGAUGAGUGGCGAACGGGUGAGUAACACGUGAGUAACCUGCCCCCUUCUUUGGGAUAACGCCCGGAAACGGGUGCUAAUACUGGAUAUUCACUGGUCUUCGCAUGGGGGUUGGUGGAAAGGGUUUUCUGGUGGGGGAUGGGCUCGCGGCCUAUCAGCUUGUUGGUGGGGUGAUGGCCUACCAAGGCUUUGACGGGUAGCCGGCCUGAGAGGGUGACCGGUCACAUUGGGACUGAGAUACGGCCCAG
This 253-nucleotide ribosomal RNA is filed under the name uncultured bacterium. Its description in RNAcentral is "partial 16S ribosomal RNA". It matches the Rfam family "Bacterial small subunit ribosomal RNA", at positions 82 to 334 of the family's 1533-position model. The record is from RNAcentral.